Molecule: non-coding RNA, 103 nt
Organism: Acanthosepion pharaonis
Lineage: Eukaryota; Metazoa; Mollusca; Cephalopoda; Sepiida; Sepiidae
Source: the annotation of a GenBank genome assembly
CGGCUACAACACGUUGAAACACCGGUCCCAGUGCAGUCAUGGAAGUUAAGCAACGUUGAACCUGGUUAGUACCUAGAUGGGUGACCACUUGGGAAUACCAGGA